AGCGAACGCUGGCGGCAGGCUUAACACAUGCAAGUCGAGCGGGCAUCCUUGUGGUGUCAGCGGCAGACGGGUGAGUAACGCGUGGGAACGUGCCCUUCGGUUCGGAAUAACUCAGGGAAACUUGAGCUAAUACCGGAUACGUGCGAGAGCAGAAAGGUUUAUCUGCCGAAGGAUCGGCCCGCGUCUGAUUAGCUAGUUGGUGAGGUUACGGCUCACCAAGGCGACGAUCAGUAGCUGGUCUGAGAGGAUGAUCAGCCACACUGGGACUGAGACACGGCCCAGACUCCUACGGGAGGCAGCAGUGGGGAAUAUUGGACAAUGGGGGCAACCCUGAUCCAGCCAUGCCGCGUGAGUGAUGACGACCUUAGGGUUGUAAAGCUCUUUUCUCCGGGACGAUAAUGACGGUACCGGAGGAAUAAGCCCCGGCUAACUUCGUG
Molecule: ribosomal RNA, 437 nt
Filed under: uncultured bacterium
Lineage: Bacteria
Description: partial 16S ribosomal RNA
Rfam family: Bacterial small subunit ribosomal RNA
Source: RNAcentral